UGGGGAAUAUUGCGCAAUGGGCGAAAGCCUGACGCAGCGACGCCGCGUGUGGGAUGAAGGUUUUCGGAUCGUAAACCUCUGUCAGAAGGGAAGAAACCGCACUGUGCUAAUCAGCAGUGCCUUGACGGUACCUUCAAAGGAAGCACCGGCUAACUCCGUGCCAGCAGCCGCGGUAAUAUGGAGGGUGCAAGCGUUAAUCGGAAUUACUGGGCGUAAAGCGCACGUAGGCUGCUUUGUAAGUCAGGGGUGAAAUCCCACGGCUCAACCGUGGAACUGCCUUUGAUACUGCUUAGCUUGAAUCCGGGAGAGUGUGGCGGAAUUCCAGGUGUAUGAGUGAAAUCCGUAGAUGUCUGGAGGAACAUCAGUGGCGAAGGCGGCCACCUGGACCGGUAUUGACGCUGAGGUGCGAAAGCGUGGGGAGCAAACAGG
RNAcentral lists this ribosomal RNA (429 nucleotides) under Fusobacteriota bacterium. RNAcentral's name for it is "Fusobacteria bacterium partial 16S ribosomal RNA". It matches the Rfam family "Bacterial small subunit ribosomal RNA", at positions 355 to 776 of the family's 1533-position model. The record is from RNAcentral. Lineage: Bacteria; Fusobacteriati; Fusobacteriota.